ACUUAUUAAGUUUCACGUUCCUUGCUUCCCUGCCCAAAGUUGUCCUCUGGACAGGAGGCUGAAUAAUCCGUAAGGAGCAGUUCUGUG
The sequence is a regulatory RNA element, 87 nucleotides long. It matches the Rfam family "RpsF leader". Rfam says of the family: Conserved and widely distributed to many bacterial species RNA structure. It precedes operon containing rpsF, which encodes ribosomal protein S6. The record is from Rfam.